RNAcentral lists this ribosomal RNA (255 nucleotides) under uncultured bacterium. RNAcentral's name for it is "partial 16S ribosomal RNA". It matches the Rfam family "Bacterial small subunit ribosomal RNA", at positions 524 to 776 of the family's 1533-position model. The record is from RNAcentral.
UACGAAGGGGGGCUAGCGUUGUUCGGAAUUACUGGGCGUAAAGCGCACGUAGGCGGAUCGAUCAGUCAGGGGUGAAAUCCCAGGGCUCAACCCUGGAACUGCCUUUGAUACUGUCGAUCUGGAGUAUGGAAGAGGUGAGUGGAAUUCCGAGUGUAGAGGUGAAAUUCGUAGAUAUUCGGAGGAACACCAAUGGCGAAGGCGGCUCACUGGUCCAUUACUGACGCUGAGGUGCGAAAGCGUGGGGGAGCGAACAGG